This 224-nucleotide long non-coding RNA is filed under the name Lathyrus oleraceus (garden pea). RNAcentral's name for it is "Pisum sativum (pea) long non-coding RNA (PSAT_LNC025190)". Lineage: Eukaryota; Viridiplantae; Streptophyta; Magnoliopsida; Fabales; Fabaceae. The record is from RNAcentral.
AAGCAAUCUGAGGGUUUAUAUGAGAGGGAAUUGGUUCUUUGCCGAUGACUUCCCUUCAGUCUCUAGAGGUUACUCUGAACUCUGUUAGCUCUUCCUCACUAUCUUUUUCCCUGCCAGGGUAAUAGGAAUAAAAUGGCCUUUUAUUUCACUGAAACUCUGGAUUUAUAACCUGAUUUUUGUGGACCUGUGGGCUCAAAUGAGAGAGGCCCAAGUCCAAAAAAUUU